GGGAGGGUCACCCGCCGAAUUUAAGCAUAUUAGUAAGCGGAGGAAAAGAAACUAACCAGGAUUCCCUCAGUAACGGCGAGUGAACAGGGAAGAGCCCAGCGCCGAAUCC
RNAcentral lists this ribosomal RNA (109 nucleotides) under Nocardioides antri. RNAcentral describes it as "Nocardioides sp. BN140041 partial 23S ribosomal RNA". It matches the Rfam family "Eukaryotic large subunit ribosomal RNA", at positions 14 to 122 of the family's 3401-position model. Lineage: Bacteria; Bacillati; Actinomycetota; Actinomycetes; Propionibacteriales; Nocardioidaceae. The record is from RNAcentral.